GGAGGGUCGCUGUCAGCCAGGCACUCCAGAGUGAGGUGACCGUUAACCGGCACUGUCAAUGUCCUCACAUCACCGGAGCCAAGGAGCGUUGGUGGUACUGCAACACAACCACUGACCAUUAAGAUUUAUGUGAUCCACAAUAACAGCAACAAAAGGAAAGUAAAAGAAAAAAAAGUGCUGUGAGCCUGAAGUGCUCCUUCAGGAAGAGCUUGGUAAAGUUAUGAGGCCGUGUGGAACAGAUGAAGUCAGAAUGUAGAUCGGGGACAGGUAUAAAAAGCAUGUGUUUUCACUUAAAAAAAGACAUUACUAAAAAAAGUGCUAUAAAAAUGUGUGCCACACAGUUUUGAAUCUUCUAGAAGAGUCUUAAUUAUAGGAAUGGGGAAAAGAAACACCAUGAAUUUGGGAAAACACUGAUCUAAGCAGUCUGGCAGGUCUUAACUGCAUUGUGUAUGAUUAUAUUUAUAGAAGCAUCAUUUUACUCAAAUAUUAACAAGUGGAAUAAAUGGUGAGUAGUGCACACUCAUAAAUUAAAGUCAGGCCAUCAAUAAAAACCCAAGAAAAUGCACCCUGCGCUGCAUGCAUGUCAUAUUGCGUGCAAAACAGCGAGACCGAUAUACAAGCAGCGCAAGUCUGUUUUUCACUUGUGUAAAAAUCCAGACUUUUAUUCCUGAUCGCACACAGAGCUUUAUUCAUGCAGUACCAGGUGCAAAGAGAGGAGGAAGUUAAGGGAAAAGGGGGGCAUGACAUAUUUCUUCCAUGCUGAAUAAUAUCCAAGAACAGCUUGUGUCACCUUGGACCCGGACCCAGUGGUUUUUUCCAUCCUCUCCGGCUAGGCUGCUGGCCAAGCAGGUGUACAGACCUGCAUCCUCGACCUUUAAAGAGACAAUAUCAAUCAGCUUGAGUGGUUCUUGCAUGACAAUGCUUUAUUUGAAAAUUUACACUCAACUAAAGUGACGACUAAGGUUUAAAAAGAGUGGGUAUGUUUUUCUGUUUGUUUUUUAACAGGAGUGAUUGCUUAGAAAAAGUCUUAGCGACAUACAUUGUCUUAAAUAAAGUUUUACACCUUAAAUUGCCAAUCUCAGGAGAACAUGUGCUCGCACAGUCAGUAAUUUAUACCUGAACUUUGCUAAUCCUGAUAAAGUUUCCGUCCUGCUGAACGAUAUCAGAUCUCUCCACGGGCCGACCAUCCUUGAGCCAGCUGAGGGUAGGAGGUGGGACUCCCACAGCAGAGCACUCCAGCUCAAGUGGACUGUUAACUGCUAUGGUCAGCUCUUCUGAUAUAAAUAAAUAAAAAGAGGGUGAUCGUACCAAGCACGGUGAGGUUGAAGCUCUUGGUACUGCUUCCAGCCUGGUUACUAGCCACGCAGCUGUAAAAGCCCGCAUCUGAGGGGGCCACGUCAGGAAGCUGCAGUCUUGUCUCCUGUCCAUCCAGUAGCAGGUUGCGGUGAAGGGACAGCGGCUGUCCAUCUUUCAUCCACGUUAGCGUCGGAGGGGGGACGCCACGUGCUUCACAGGAUAAAGUCACCAAGGAUCCCUGGAUUACUGAAACUGGCUCCACCGGUUCGACGUGAUUCACACCGGGGGGCACUGCAGACCAUAAACACAGAGUGUGAAACCCCACCGACCCAGCAUGUUCUGUUUUCAUGUUAUCUACUGUUGGGAUUGUACCUUGGACUUGGACAUUAUAGCUGAGCUCUGCAAGACCAGCUUGACUGCGUGCCACACACGUGUAAACUCCAGAAUCAGACAGCUGCACAGGAGAAAUCCUUUUUUUUUUAAUGAAGAAAGAGAACAUUUAGAAUGACCUCAUCCACCAACCUGUAAUCUUUUUACAACACAGUCUGUAAUCAUCUUAACUGACCUCAGCAAAGAGUCACCGGAGAGGAGGCGAGCGCGGUGACUGAGGAGCAGCGGAUGCCCAUUCUUCAGCCAGCUGAUCUGAGGCGGGGGGUUUCCUGCUGCCUGACACUCUAGCGUCACAGCGCUGUCCUGCGUGACCUGCACCUCUUUGGGGAUGGUGGUCUCACCAGAAAUAGAUGGCGGUACUGCCACAGAUGAAAUAGACUGUGAAGAAAUCGCUCAGAAACUUAACGCAGAUAAACAAAGCUAAGGGGUGAAAAACCAACCUAGAGUAAAGACGGUGUAGAUUUUGCUCUCCUGGCCGGCCGAAUUCACAGCCAGGCAGGUGUACGUCCCAGAAUCCUCAGGACUCAGGCGCAGCAAAGUCAGUGUGCUGCCAUCAGAUGUCACGCUGCCAGAGAACAAGCACGCUUUGUUUUCACAUCCAUUUUUCUCUAUUAUUUGUCCACAUCUGAACCUCGGUGUAAUUCUUUCAUUAUCACCCACAUCCCACAGUUUUCUCACAGUCGCAUGCAGAUACAUAAACACAGUCGCUUACUGUCUGAUGACCACAUAA
Astatotilapia calliptera (eastern happy) is the source of this 2416-nucleotide long non-coding RNA. Lineage: Eukaryota; Metazoa; Chordata; Actinopteri; Cichliformes; Cichlidae. The record is from Ensembl.